CCUACGGGAGGCAGCAGUGGGGGAUAUUGCACAAUGGGGGGAACCCUGAUGCAGCGACGCCGCGUGGGUGAAGAAGCGCCUCGGCGCGUAAAGCCCUGUCAGCAGGGAAGAAAAUGACGGUACCUGAAGCAGAAGCCCCGGCUAACUACGUGCCAGCAGCCGCGGUAAUACGUAGGGGGCAAGCGUUAUCCGGAUUUACUGGGUGUAAAGGGGGCGAAGACGGCGAUGCAAGCCAGGAGUGAAAGCCCGGGGCCCAACCCCGGGACUGCACUUGGAACUGCGUGGCUGGAGUGCAGGAGGGGCAGGCGGAAUUCCUGGUGUAGCGGUGAAAUGCGUAGAUAGCAGGAGGAACACCGGUGGCGAAGGCGGCCUGCUGGACUGCAACUGACGUUGAGGCCCGAAAGCGUGGGGAGCAAACAGGAUUAGAUACCCUGGUAGUC
Molecule: ribosomal RNA, 440 nt
Filed under: uncultured bacterium
Lineage: Bacteria
Description: partial 16S ribosomal RNA
Rfam family: Bacterial small subunit ribosomal RNA
Source: RNAcentral